UACGGGGGGAGCAAGCGUUGUUCGGAUUUACUGGGCGUAAAGGGCGCGUAGGCGGUCAGCACAAGUCAGUUGUGAAAUCUCCGAGCUUAACUCGGAAAGGUCAACUGAUACUGUGCGACUAGAGUGCAGAAGGGGCAACUGGAAUUCUUGGUGUAGCGGUGAAAUGCGUAGAUAUCAAGAGGAACACCUGCGGCGAAGGCGGGUUGCUGGGCUGACACUGACGCUGAAGCGCGAAAGCCAGGGGAGCAAACGGG
This 254-nucleotide ribosomal RNA is filed under the name uncultured bacterium. RNAcentral describes it as "partial 16S ribosomal RNA". It matches the Rfam family "Bacterial small subunit ribosomal RNA", at positions 524 to 776 of the family's 1533-position model. The record is from RNAcentral.